Molecule: ribosomal RNA, 119 nt
Filed under: Pteropus alecto (black flying fox)
Lineage: Eukaryota; Metazoa; Chordata; Mammalia; Chiroptera; Pteropodidae
Source: RNAcentral
GUCUACGCCCCUGCUACCCUGAACAAGCUCGAUCCCAUCCGAUCUCAGAAGCUAAGCAGGGUCAGGCCUGGUUAGUACUUGGACUGGAGACCACCUAGAAAGACUAGGUGCUGUGAGGU